Molecule: ribosomal RNA, 253 nt
Filed under: uncultured bacterium
Lineage: Bacteria
Description: partial 16S ribosomal RNA
Rfam family: Bacterial small subunit ribosomal RNA
Source: RNAcentral
UACAGAGGUCCCAAGCGUUGUUCGGAUUCACUGGGCGUAAAGGGUGCGUAGGUGGUCAGGUAAGUCGGAUGUGAAAUCUCCGAGCUCAACUCGGAAACUGCAUUGGAAACUACCUGGCUCGAGGGUUGGAGGGGGGACUGGAAUGCUUGGUGUAGCAGUGAAAUGCGCAGAUAUCAGGAGGAACACCGGUGGCGAAGGCGGGUCUCUGGGCCGUAACUGACGCUGAGGAGCGAAAGCAUGGGGAGCGAACAGG